CUAGCGACUUCAGAGUUGAUCCUGGCGUCAGGAUAAACGACUGGCGGCGCACAUAAGACAUGCAAGUCGAAUGAAAGCCGUUUAAAUUAAAUGAUUGGAUGUGAGGACUUGUCCAAGUUGAAAUGAAUUAGUUUAAAACAUAUGACUUUAGUGGCGGACUGGUGAGUAACGCGUGAGCAACCUGCCUGUUAGAGGGGAAUACCAGUGAGAAAUCACUGCUAAUACCGCAUAUGCUAUGAGUAUUGCAUGAUACAAAUAGGAAAGGAGAAAUCCGCUAAUAGAUGGGCUCGCGUCUGAUUAGAUAGUUGGUGAGAUAACAGCCCACCAAGUCAACGAUCAGUAGCCGGACUGAGAGGUUGAACGGCCACAUUGGGACUGAGAUACGGCCCAG
Molecule: ribosomal RNA, 391 nt
Filed under: uncultured bacterium
Lineage: Bacteria
Description: bacterial SSU rRNA
Rfam family: Bacterial small subunit ribosomal RNA
Source: RNAcentral